RNAcentral lists this ribosomal RNA (301 nucleotides) under uncultured bacterium. RNAcentral describes it as "partial 16S ribosomal RNA". It matches the Rfam family "Bacterial small subunit ribosomal RNA", at positions 509 to 809 of the family's 1533-position model. The record is from RNAcentral.
CAGUAGCCGCGGGAAUACGUAGGUGGCAAGCGUUGUCCGGAAUUAUUGGGCGUAAAGGGCUCGCAGGCGGUUUCUUAAGUCUGAUGUGAAAGCCCCCGGCUCAACCGGGGAGGGUCAUUGGAAACUGGGAAACUUGAGUGCAGAAGAGGAGAGUGGAAUUCCACGUGUAGCGGUGAAAUGCGUAGAGAUGUGGAGGAACACCAGUGGCGAAGGCGACUCUCUGGUCUGUAACUGACGCUGAGGAGCGAAAGCGUGGGGAGCGAACAGGAUUAGAUACCCCUGUAGUCCCUGUCUCUUAUAU